UACAGAGGUCUCAAGCGUUUGUUCGGAUUCAUUGGGCGUAAAGGGUGCGUAGGCGGCGCGGUAAGUCGGGUGUGAAAUCUCGGAGCUUAACUCCGAAACUGCAUUCGAUACUGCCGUGCUUGAGGACUGGAGAGGAGACUGGAAUUUACGGUGUAGCGGUGAAAUGCGUAGAUAUCGUAAGGAAGACCAGUGGCGAAAGGCGG
Molecule: ribosomal RNA, 203 nt
Filed under: uncultured bacterium
Lineage: Bacteria
Description: partial 16S ribosomal RNA
Rfam family: Bacterial small subunit ribosomal RNA
Source: RNAcentral